UACUAAGUCCAUACCACCUUGAGCAUGCCUAGUCUCAGAAGAUAAGCAGGGUCAGAUCUGGUUAAUACUUGGAUGAGAGAGAGCCUGGGAAACUUAAAAA
This 100-nucleotide ribosomal RNA is filed under the name Mesocricetus auratus (golden hamster). The record is from RNAcentral. Lineage: Eukaryota; Metazoa; Chordata; Mammalia; Rodentia; Cricetidae.